UCAACCCUUGCCAACCCUGAAAAACAAUGGCAUGAUAAAUGAUUAUAUGAAUAAUAUCCAAUGACUCGCAGUACUCGAAAACACAACAUUAAUUAAAAAUACGUACGAUAUGAUGGGGUUAACGGAGGCCUUGUUUGCAUUUACGUUUGAGGACUUGGAUCCGCAGGUGCCACCGAGGCAGGGCACUGGAUAAGGCGUAUAGGGCACUGAAAGAUAAUCGAGACUUUAGCAGCCGAGGGUUUUGUGACUGUCUUCCAGUGAAACUAAUAUACGCAUCAACAAGGAUGAAUAAGAAGAAAGUAACGAUAACCAUUUACGCACCAGCUAAAGUUUGGGUAGCAAAGGCCAUUAUGAAGACGACCAGCAUCACCAACACCAAUUCUGUAGGAAAAUAGGAAUUGUUGCAUAGAUAUACGAUGUCGGUUUAAAUACAGAUAUGAAUACAAAAA
Molecule: long non-coding RNA, 449 nt
Filed under: Penaeus japonicus
Lineage: Eukaryota; Metazoa; Arthropoda; Malacostraca; Decapoda; Penaeidae
Description: uncharacterized LOC122263221, transcript variant X1
Source: RNAcentral